CAGGAUCUGGUGACAGUCGUUCCUGUCGGAAUUCGGAAAUUCAGCAGUUUCUCCUGGCGCGUCCCCUUUGUGCAGCAGGUGUAACCUCCCACGCCCGCUAGCGAUGCGCCCUCCUUGCCUCGCUUGUCCUUCGGACCGGCGAGGCAUUUU
Molecule: small RNA, 150 nt
Filed under: Mycoplana azooxidifex
Lineage: Bacteria; Pseudomonadati; Pseudomonadota; Alphaproteobacteria; Hyphomicrobiales; Rhizobiaceae
Description: Rhizobiales sRNA Atu_C7
Rfam family: Rhizobiales sRNA Atu_C7 (bases 26-150)
Source: Rfam by way of RNAcentral